This is a long non-coding RNA of Saimiri boliviensis boliviensis (Bolivian squirrel monkey), 478 nucleotides long. RefSeq lists it as uncharacterized. The record is from RefSeq and is a predicted model, not a curated record. NCBI's taxonomy places the organism in Eukaryota, Metazoa, Chordata, Mammalia, Primates, Cebidae.
UCCAGAAUACAGAUUCUAAUGGAGACUGAGCCAUGGGAGGAUGGAUGCUUGCAGGAAGGUUAGGGGAUUUGCACAGCUGGCACGUGGCAGAGGCAGAAUUCUGAACAGGAUCUAAAUCCUGCCCCGUGUCCUGUGCCCUGCAGUGCGACAACUCCUGCUUCACUCCGUCAGGGUGGGUUUUCCCAAACAGAAGCCUGGACUGGUUCAGGAAACAGUGCAAGUGCUGGCACUUAUAAAAUCAUCUAGAAUCAUGCCACAGUGACACAGAUGAGAGACAACAUAAAAAGAAAAAGGCGUUUUUCUUUUAAAAAUCUCACCAUUUCUACCUUCAACUGACUGUCCUGAGGUCUGCAUUUGAAAUUGUAUGUCUAUGAACAUGAUACGACUGUCAUUAUUUAUGUUAACUCAGCAUAUCGUGAACGACAUGCCAAUGUACAUUUUGUUGCAUUCCUUGAUUUGCAUAAAUAUUGAGCUUUGA